GUCCCUGAAAACUUUUGAUAUCGAAAGAGGAAGUUAUGAUCUCAUAGUCAAGAGAUUGUAAUAUUUUGAAUCUUCAGAUCCUCUCUCAAACAAACUUGAACUUGAUAUAUCCUCUUCAAUUUGUAUCUCAAGUGAACACUUUUUCCGCCAUUCUAUAUUCUUUGACGACUUAGGGUUUCUCUUUAUUCAUAUUCUCGAAGAACCUGGAUUAGGACUUCACUUAUUUUCUUUCAUAAUCCUGUAAUUAGGCUCGAAAAGAGCUGAUUCGGCAAGGGUUAGGAGGAAUUGUUAAGGCAAAGAAACUGAUCUGAUUCCUAGGAAAGUCUGAAUCUUAAAGGGAACAUGGCUGAUCAGGUCUUGAAAGGGAGCCAACCGGCAUCCUUCUAGUUUUGGCGACGAAAGAAUCGGUUCAAUGGAACCCGUGGCAUCGGCCACGUGUCACCAUCCAACCGGCCCUCCGCCAGCCUCCGCCAAAGUCAGAUGCCAUAGAGGAUCUCGAUCCAACUCCGAAACCUCAUCCCGACUCAUCCCUUGGGUUUGAACGUGUAUAAGUUUCAAUUUUUUUCUCUCUUUUUGCGUCUCUGUCUCUCUGCAGCUUAUUCCUCAUAUAUUCACAGUAACGAGCGCGUGUGGGGAGCAGAGUCGCCAUGACUCAGCAAUGCUAUCAUUGCAGCCAUAACAGGCACAACUCACGCACCUGCCUGACAAGAGGAGGGUGAAGUUGUUCAGUGUUCCGACUCACGAAUGGUUCCAUAAAGAAGAGUGCGAGUAUGGGCAACCUCUCAUCUGAGUCCAUAAAGAAGAGUGCGAGUAUGGGAAACUUCUCUGCUCACUAUUGCUCGUCUUCCUCUGCUGCGGCUUCUCCCAAUCCCGGUCUGCCGUCGACACCGGGGAGGAUGUCAACGAUCUUCACCACCGGUGUUCUGGCGAGGAGCAAGAAGGGUGGGUAUGCGAAGACCCAUGUGUUCGUUCACGAUUUCAAGAGGGAGGCGAAGAGAGUUUGCAGUGAGGAGUUCUUGUGCAGGGAGAACCUGGUGCAGUCAAAGGACCUCCUCGCCCAUUUCGCAAUCGAGAGAAGGAACGGAUAUGCCUCGGAAUUCUGUCGCAACCGUACAUCGGCAUCAUCAUUUUUUUCCUCCUAGAAAUUUCUCUGUUAAUUUAGAUUUCUUUUCCCUUGUACAUAGUUACAAUCACCUGAAAGGUGUUUGUGUAGUUGUGUCUUAUAGUUUUCAAAUACAUGGUUUGAAAAUGAAGUAUCAGCAAGAGUGUUGGUUCUAGCGCAAUGACCGGAGCCCCUUCUUUCACAAAAACCUAGCGGCUGUACGAAGAAGAAAUCAUUGGAGUUGAUUAUAGAAGAUGUGUGAAGGGUAGUGAGGACAGUACUAUUAAGUUCAUGGAAACAUACAAUCAAGUUAAUUCUAGCACCUCUUUUGGAAUUUGCAUAUUUUGAUGGAGCUGUGAAGCAUCUUUUUCCAUUGAAUUUCAUUUGAAGGCUGUGGUAUCUUGGUCCUGACUUCUACUAUGCUGUAAAUAUUGGCAUUUUUCAAUAUCAGCUGAAGUUUAACACACACUGCAAGGAUUAUUUGAUGAUUGCAACCAGUGGAGGACUGAAUCAAAAAAGGACCGGGGUUAGAUUCUUUAGCCCUUAUUUGAUGAUUGCAAAUACAGACUUGUUAUAAUUGCCUUACCAGUGGGACAUGCAACUAGAAGAAGGCUGGGUUCUUCGGAGCCUUGUCGAAGGUGCAUGUUUGCAAGACAUCGGGUGUCGACCAGGUUG
Macadamia integrifolia is the source of this 1777-nucleotide long non-coding RNA. RefSeq lists it as uncharacterized. NCBI's taxonomy places the organism in Eukaryota, Viridiplantae, Streptophyta, Magnoliopsida, Proteales, Proteaceae. The transcript is spliced from 3 exons. The record is from RefSeq and is a predicted model, not a curated record.